GAUGAAGAACGCAGCGAAAUGCGAUAAGUAGUGUGAAUUGCAGAAUUCAGUGAAUCAUCGAAUCUUUGAACGCACAUUGCGCCCUUUGGUAUUCCUUAGGGCAUGCCUGUUCGAGCGUUAUUUGAACCCUCAAGCCCAGCUUGGUGUUGGGUGAUUGUCCCACGCUCCGUGGAGACUCGCCUUGAAGCUAUUGGUGGCCGUCCAGGGAAGCCGAUUCGCAGUACAUUCUGUUGCGAACUCUGGCUCCCGGGCCGGCGUCCAGGAAGGACGCUCCUCUGAGAAUUGACCUCGGAUCAGGUAGGGAUACCCGCUGAACUUAAGCAUAUCAAUAAGCGGAGGA
Molecule: unclassified non-coding RNA, 340 nt
Filed under: soil metagenome
Description: partial contains 5.8S ribosomal RNA, internal transcribed spacer 2, and large subunit ribosomal RNA
Rfam family: 5.8S ribosomal RNA (bases 1-120)
Source: RNAcentral